This 497-nucleotide ribosomal RNA is filed under the name uncultured bacterium. Its description in RNAcentral is "partial 16S ribosomal RNA". It matches the Rfam family "Bacterial small subunit ribosomal RNA", at positions 28 to 507 of the family's 1533-position model. The record is from RNAcentral.
GAUGAACGCUGGCGGCGUGCCUAAUACAUGCAAGUCGAGCGAACAGACGAGGAGCUUGCUCCUCUGACGUUAGCGGCGGACGGGUGAGUAACACGUGGAUAACCUACCUAUAAGACUGGGAUAACUUCGGGAGACCGGAGCUAAUACCGGAUAAUAUAUUGAACCGCAUGGUUCAAUAGUGAAAGACGGUUUUGCUGUAACUUAUAGAUGGAUCCGCGCCGCAUUAGCUAGUUGGUAAGGUAACGGCUUACCAAGGCAACGAUGCGUAGCCGACCUGAGAGGGUGAUCGGCCACACUGGAACUGAGCCACGGUCCAGACUCCUACGGGAGGCAGCAGUAGGGAAUCUUCCGCAAUGGGCGAAAGCCUGACGGAGCAACGCCGCGUGAGUGAUGAAGGUCUUCGGAUCGUAAAACUCUGUUAUUAGGGAAGAACAAAUGUGUAAGUAACUAUGCACGUCUUGACGGUACCUAAUCAGAAAGCCACGGCUAACUACGUG